UACGGGGGGAGCAAGCGUUGUUCGGAUUUACUGGGCGUAAAGGGCGCGUAGGCGGCCAGCACAAGUCAGUUGUGAAAUCUCCGAGCUUAACUCGGAAAGGUCAACUGAUACUGUGCGGCUAGAGUGCGGAAGGGGCAACUGGAAUUCUUGGUGUAGCGGUGAAAUGCGUAGAUAUCAAGAGGAACACCUGCGGCGAAGGCGGGUUGCUGGGCCGACACUGACGCUGAGGCGCGAAAGCCAGGGGGGCGAACGGG
RNAcentral lists this ribosomal RNA (254 nucleotides) under uncultured bacterium. Its description in RNAcentral is "partial 16S ribosomal RNA". It matches the Rfam family "Bacterial small subunit ribosomal RNA", at positions 524 to 776 of the family's 1533-position model. The record is from RNAcentral.